AAGUCGUAACAAGGUUUCCGUAGGUGAACCUGCGGAAGGAUCAUUAACACGUAUCCACACGUAUCCCACCCUCAUGCGAAUUUGUUUUCAACUAUUGUUUAAUACUAAACAAACCAUUUUCACCUUUAAAACUUUUGCUAGUUGACUUUGUUUUAAAAAAGGAAUAUAUAUGCAUGCAUGUAUAUUUCUUUUGUUAAUUUUCUAAUCUAUUUGAAAAUCAACACACAUACAACUCUUAGCAAUGGAUAUCUUGGUUCUC
This 259-nucleotide unclassified non-coding RNA is filed under the name fungal sp. Its description in RNAcentral is "partial internal transcribed spacer region". The stretch from base 1 to 46 matches the Rfam family "Eukaryotic small subunit ribosomal RNA", at positions 1786 to 1831 of the family's 1831-position model. The record is from RNAcentral. Lineage: Eukaryota; Fungi.